This is a long non-coding RNA of Neopelma chrysocephalum (saffron-crested tyrant-manakin), 3000 nucleotides long. RefSeq lists it as uncharacterized. Lineage: Eukaryota; Metazoa; Chordata; Aves; Passeriformes; Pipridae. The record is from RefSeq and is a predicted model, not a curated record. The transcript has 4 exons.
GCAGGCUCUAUUCUAAAUUCUCAACCUCUUCUAUGCUUUUUCAUUUAUUAGAGUCAUUUGUCUCGGCACACCACUCAAGAUAUGAUUUAUUUUUUUUUAAAGCACUUUAUAUUGAUACCCAGAAUCAAGUUUCCCAAUUCAAUUCACUUUUAAAUCAAAAGCAAUCUUUCCAUUGACUUUUGUAAAUUUUUUAAUCAAUCAACCUUUAACAAAAACCUCAAGCAGCACCAGCUGCACAAGGAAUUAUAUACUGCAAUAAAGAACUGUUGCAUGGUUAUUGCAACAAAUUGGGUAAGACUGAGUUCUUUAGCAUUUGUUUAGCCUGGUAGCCAAAUUUUCAGUGUAGGUAUUUCAAACUCAAUUUAGCAUCAUGGUUCAUUAAAAUAGUGUCGUCAUGUAAAUACAGUUCAGGUGGCGAGGAAAUAAAUUUUAGUUGAUUGAACAGCAUUAUUUGCAUAAUGUUUCUGUUCAAUGGUCCUUCUAAAGGUGAAGCUUAAAUGGAAAGCCUAAAUUUGUUCUUGUAAGAACAUAAAUCAUUGACAUCUACAGUUUUUAAGGAUGCAACCAGAAAUCUGCGGUGGAGGACACAGGAUGAUAAUGCAGGGAGACACGAAGUGGACUGAGGACAGUUGUGCAUGCCCCAGAGGGAGAGCUGCCAGUGAGCAAAAUCUGUUGUUUGACCUUCAGGAGCCUAUGAGAAAGGUAACUUUUUGGCAUACAUCUUCCUUAUAGCCUGUUAGGAAGACUUUGCUUACUGUAGGUGGGCACCUUGGUAAGAAAAGAGUGAAAGAGGAAGCCGGAAGAUGGUUGGCCUUCUUUUGCUAUCUUGCAUCAGGGCCAACUGCUGCAUAACACACCCAGAAGUCAUAUUUGUUGCUGUUGCUAGGCCAUUGUGCUGCUCCUCACCUACUUCAGCAGCCUCCUGAAUCCCAUGCAUUGCAAAAGUUGCUGUUGUCACUUCUAUGCCCCACACAAGACAGCAAAGAGAAUUUGCUACAGCUGCUGUGUGUCCCCAGAAGACAGUUAGUCUCUUCAUACCUCAUGAAAGAGCAUGAGCACAGAAAGACACCUUGCUUAUGUUAAAUGCUUACUGAGGCUUCUCAUGGUUAGUCCUGGAACAGGAGAAAUCCCACAGAGUUAUUUCACUUGCAUCUCACAUGCAUGUCUGUGAUGAACAUGAACGAGAACAGCUGUUUCCUUCAAAACCAGUUCAAGUCUCCAGGGUUACUGAGUCGCUCUGUUACGACUGUCAAAUGAGAAUAUGAAUGAGGGUAUCUUGCAACAAGGGAGACAGCUGGGCCCAUGGGAGUAAGAAAGGCUGCAACAAUUACAACUAAACUUGUUGGACUUACUCUAACUAAACUUGGGCUCAAUAGGGUGCUAUUUCUGGAAUUCGCUGAUUCAAGUUCAGGAGGUAGUUGGAAGUCUCAUGUUGGCAGGAAUGUCAAGGAAAAUCUGUCCCAUUCCCAGUCAGCCCAGCCAGUCUGCCCCAGAUAAUUUGCCUGGUAAAUCCCUGAUUAACUGAGAAUUAGAAGCCCAAACCCAAGCCCGUGAGAGUAGCCAAAGCCCAAGCAGCCCCAGGCCUCCAGCUUGUAUCAUCCGCAAAGAGCCCGGCAUACGGGCUAAUCUCAGUCUAGGCUCCACACCUUUGACUUGCAGAGAAAUUUGGAAAUGUCUUUUAUUUUACAUCACAGUAGCAACAAAUUUCAAAGUAUCAAUGCCUUCUUAUAAGCAAAAUUAUGUUUCCUUAUCCAGAUACAAGUAAAACUUGGGAAUUUGAGACCCUUCUGCCAGAUUUCUUUAAAAACAUUAUCCAUUCCCAAAUCUUGGACAGGCAGGAGGAAACAAAAUGUGCUUUGUAUAUCUGGGCAGGACCAUCUUUUGUGACAAUGUAGAGCAAGAUUAGCAUUUUUCUUUUUACAGAGAUUAUGGAGAACAAACAUGCAAGCACACUUUAAUUAUUUAUUUAUAUAUAUAUGUAUUUAUUAUUUCAUUAUUUAAAAUCCAAAUUUCAGGAUGUUUCUAUUGAGGAAUCCAAAGUUUUUAAUAAUACUCCAGUACAAAAAUAUAGUCCUUAGGAUAAAAACUUCCAUACUACUACCUCCAAAUAAAUAAAAUUACAUCAGACACAUUUAAAUUAUUCAGUAUUAAAAAAAAACAGCAAUUUUUUUAAUCUGAGAGUUGAAGUUAAGUCAGUGCAGUACAGUUAGUCACAAUCCCUUGAGGUGUUAAGUAGUCUGGCGUACUGAUAACUUCAGGAUAGUAAAUACUAGCAAUUAAUCAUCAAUACUCUCCUUCAGAAACAUGCAUCAGCAUUUGCUUAUCUUUAAACAUGUUUAUUUCCUUGAUUUAGAUUUAGGCAUGUUUAGUAGUAAGCAGACAUGAAUAUGUUUUUCUGAGUACAGUAACUUCCUCCUAUUGGUGCUUGUGUCUCCAUGCCAAAUAGAUGAAUGAUAAGACUAAUCUUGUAACAACCCUCUCUCAAGACAGCACCAGAUGGAAAGCUGGGUACCGUAUCAUGUCAUUUCAAGAUUUCCAUAUGGAAACUGGCCUCCAGAACACAUACGAGAACACCAGAAAGUCAGGCAUACAAGAAAUUCAUCCAUGGAUAACAUUUUACUUAGAACAGAACUUCAUGAAAGGAGUCUGCUUGCGAAGACUUUCCAGUUAGAUUCCAAAUUUAAAGUGAAAGAAGAAAUACGCAAGACCUUUGCUUUUUAGUAGUUAAAAAAUGAAGAAGCUACUUCACACCCUAAGAACAUUUCCUCUUCAUCUCCACAGGAAAUAAGUCUGCCUAUAGAAGAGGUACUGUGAGUCAAGUGGAGAUGCACUUUAUUUUAAAGUUGUGUAUCUUCCUUUUUCAAAGGCCUGGACUAACAACUGUGAAGUGCUCUGAACGAACACCCUCUAAUCCUCUUAAGGCAAUGUAAAGAUUGAACUAGCUAGUAAGAACUAUUUUUAAAUGAAAAAGCAAACAAGCAAACAAAAAACCAAACCAAA